Molecule: long non-coding RNA, 2205 nt
Organism: Magallana angulata
Lineage: Eukaryota; Metazoa; Mollusca; Bivalvia; Ostreida; Ostreidae
Exons: 2
Source: RefSeq, a predicted model, not a curated record
UGAAUCAAAUCAACACGAAAUCUGUCAGCGAGAGUGUUUAAAUCAGUUGCAGUAACGGCGCGCCGCCUGAGAGCAACAACGUCAUUGGAUUUAUCUUCGACAGGUGCGAGUUGAGUUACGUUAGAGAGAGUCUCGGGUAUAUCGUGAUUGGCAUUAGCGUGAAUAGAGGCACCUGUACUAGCUGCUUAUAUCUACAGGCUCCAAUGACCAUCACUUCCGCGGCCCUCAGAACAAGGAGAGGCAGCGACUUACAUGUAGAUGACAGGAUUAUAGUACACAGACCCGAGGCAUCUACCUCUGUCGUCAAGCCAUCGGAGGCCGUACGUACUACUCUGUCAUCAAGCACUGCUGGAAUCAAAUUAUAAUUAGUUUGCUAUUCUGAAGCUUCAAAUCAUCAGCGAUCUCAUAUUGUCUCGUUUUUUCCUUGACUAGCGCGUGGUAAUAUUUGAUUUUCCUUUCAACCUGCUGCUGUUCAUCGCUGAAUCUGUCGCGAAUCUUCCUCGAGUUGUACUUUUUUUUUAUGAAGGUGUGCCUUACUACAGUAGCUGUAUCUUAUGUAUAUAGCUGACCAGGCGUGUGUACCACAGUUUACGAACAGCCUGAUAUGGGUUGCAGUUCCUCUCACAUCCCCCACCAGAAAAUGAUCAACUAUCGGGAGGAUAGCGAAAAUGAAACUUCUACAACCUGGGAUUGUCGCGGAGAACCGGAUGGGGAAGUUUGCAGCAAUGCAAGUAAAGACGAUCAGAAGAAGUCCGACCUCUCGAAAUGCCCGGCUCACUUGUUUGUUGUGUCGAAAACGAAGCAGAAGAUCGAGGUAAAGCCCGCCAAAACAGAAGACGUCCUCAAGCUGCAGAAAUGAUGGACACACUGGACCGCGGGGUAGAUGGUGGGCAUUUUGAAAAGGGCGUAAUAAUUGCACAAAGACUUUUGGGAACUUUUUCUCGAUGGGUUGAAUGCACGUGGCCCUUUUAACUCCUAGAAAAGGCGAAAUCACGAUCUGUCAAAAUAAUACAUUUAAAAUUUUCGGUUUUGUCCGAUAGGUUUUUUGUGAACCAUCCACUCUCCUGAAUCAAGUUGAUUCGUGGUUUGAACGUUGAAUGUUCUUUGCUCGGAUGUUUUCGGGUUUUACAUAUUUCGGGCAUCCUUUAACAACUCAAGAUUAGGAUAUUACUGGAAAUGAUAACAUGGAAAUAGUUAUUUUAAAAAUAAUUACACGAUAGUAUUUCAAUAGCAAAUAUUUCGCUAUUUAAUGUUUAAAAACGGAUUCGGAUUGUGAACUUUCCGAAUUUUGGAUUCGAAGCGGAUUCGAACCCUCCAAAGGGAAAAUACUGCUGGAAACGUCCCAAUAAUGAAACGCUGGUUGAUAAAAUACUCCCACUGAAUAAAGGGCUCCGCUCAAAAAGAAGCAGAAAAUUAGUACGGAUCAUAUUAUCAGAGUACUGUUUUCAGCAUAGUCCAAGAAGGUCUAACAAUACAAGAGUGGGGACAUGAAAGACAGACGAACAUUGCUAUUACUAAAUCAAAUGCAGCUCAUUCGGGGAAAUAUCUUUGGUAAAAUCUUUUGUGGUAAAACAAAAUAUAUAUGACUGUUUGUUAUCUAGACAUUUUUCUGUACAGAUAAACUUCUACCACAACAAAAUAUACACGUGAGUGAUUCGAUAUACUGGUAUAUCAGUUACUGUUGUUUUUAUGUACGUUGAACAUUAUGUGAAAACUUUGAAGAUUUACACAUUUUAUGAUCUGUAAAAUGAACGAAAAAACAAGUUUACGCCAUCCUUUUGAGACCGUUAUCAGAUGUCAAGGUAGUAAGUGCGUUCCUUGUAUUAUCCGGGUAACCGUUGGAAUGCAGUACCGGUCUUCUCUUUCUUCACCUUGUCAUUGAUUUCCAGGCUUUGAGUGGCGGAAGCUUUGUUUGAGCCAUUGUCUGGGAGUGGACACUACAUCCUUUGUUUGAAGCGUUUAUUGAAUGCUCUAGGAACAAGACAGUUAUUGAAUACAGAUAAUUCUCCCUGAAUCUGGGAUUCAUUUCAAAGGACUAUAUAUAGUAUCAAUGCAGAACUGAGUGUUCAUUAUAGAACAAUCGUUUUAUUGUAUAUACCAAGCGUCGUAUCUGUUGAUCAUUAAUAUUUAAUCUGUUUGUACAUAUAUAGUAAUUAUAUAUGUAUAUUUUUAUUAUGUAUAAAAUGAUGUCCAUGAGCAGCAAGA